Molecule: long non-coding RNA, 1083 nt
Organism: Pungitius pungitius (ninespine stickleback)
Lineage: Eukaryota; Metazoa; Chordata; Actinopteri; Perciformes; Gasterosteidae
Exons: 2
Source: RefSeq, a predicted model, not a curated record
AGAGCCGCCAUCUCGCGGAGUGCUUUUCUCUCAGAGAGGGAGGAACAAGCCGCUUGGCAGAUGCAGAGCGGAGUGUGCGGGUUGGGAUGGAGGGUUUCACCAUGUCCUGGAUGUAGACUGGACCUGAUCCAUUCACAGCAUGGUUCGCACCUUCUACACGGAGGUCCUGAACGAAGAGGAGCGCCAGAGACUUUGCCAGAACAUGGCAGGGGCCCUGAAGGGAGCCCAGCUCUUCAUCCAAAAACGUGUUUAACAGUUCAGUUCUCUGAAUGUGUUAGAAUUUAUUUUAUAUAAGUUGAUUUUGAGUAAUAUUCCCAGCGCGUGUUCUCCAUUUCUUCAUCAGUAAAUCUGUGAUGGAUACCGUGGUCUAUUAAAGAAAGCCGUGGACGCGCACUUAUCCCAGCUAUGUGCACCUGGAUUGACUUGGCUCCCCCUUCUCAACCGGUUAAGCAGCAACGAGCAGAUCACACUAAGUGAAGCUGCUACUUUUUAUCUUAUCCUGGACAUCUUUAUUCUACUUUUGUGCAAUACCCCCCUGGUAAGCUUCGUCACGAAACAAAGGGAUGUGGCUUUCUCUGCGUGCCUGUGCUAAGGACUUAGAAAGGCCUUAGAAAAGUAUAGUAUUUUUCUACAAUGCAAUAAUCAGUUGAGCAAUAACACCAAUAUAUCUUUUUUUUUUCACUACGCUAUUAUGAACCAACUCUUUUCUUUGCCAGAAGAAGAAAACAAACCCAGCGAUUCAAAAUGUCUUGUCAACAUUAAUCAUCAGUCUGGGUUUAAAUUAGUAAAAUACCUUGAUGUAAUGCAUCGUCAUCUCACGGCUGGGCUAAUUUUACUGCUUUAUUCCACCACGAGCAAUGAUCAGUUUUCAUAAUUUGGAUGAUUGUCAUUGGUAAAACAGUUCCUGUUCUACUUUUAUUAUUUUCCCUGUUUGCAUAUCUAGUGGAAGAUGAGCCUUCAUUUCCAUUAGAACUACAACAAUAGUGCCUUUUUGUGGACUAAAACAACCAAAUGCUGUUAUUUUGACCUUUUUUAAACAAGAAGAAUUACUUAUGAAUUACUUACAGUUUGAUGUGCUUGUUU